GUGGUAAUGCCGGAUGUUCCACAUGAUCGCAUGUGAUUGUGGGAAAGAUUCUAUCGGCGUGGGAUGGGGUCGCGUCCUAUCAGCUUGUUGGUGAGGUAACGGCUCACCAAGGCUUCGACGGGUAGCCGGCCUGAGAGGGCGACCGGCCACAUUGGGACUGAGAUACGGCCCAGACUCCUACGGGAGGCAGCAGUGGGGAAUAUUGCACAAUGGGCGCAAGCCUGAUGCAGCGACGCCGCGUGAGGGAUGGAGGCCUUCGGGUUGUAAACCUCUUUUGUUUGGGAGCAAGCCUUCGGGUGAGUGUACCUUUCGAAUAAGCGCCGGCUAACUACGUGCCAGCAGCCGCGGUAAUACGUAGGGCGCAAGCGUUAUCCGGAUUUAUUGGGCGUAAAGGGCUCGUAGGCGGCUCGUCGCGUCCGGUGUGAAAGUCCAUCGCUUAACGGUGGAUCUGCGCCGGGUACGGGCGGGCUGGAGUGCGGUAGGGGAGACUGGAAUUCCCGGUGUAACGGUGGAAUGUGUAGAUAUCGGGAAAGAACACCA
This 540-nucleotide ribosomal RNA is filed under the name Bifidobacterium bifidum. RNAcentral describes it as "bacterial SSU rRNA". It matches the Rfam family "Bacterial small subunit ribosomal RNA", at positions 160 to 711 of the family's 1533-position model. The record is from RNAcentral. Lineage: Bacteria; Bacillati; Actinomycetota; Actinomycetes; Bifidobacteriales; Bifidobacteriaceae.